This is a long non-coding RNA of Syzygium oleosum, 437 nucleotides long. RefSeq lists it as uncharacterized. The transcript is spliced from 2 exons. The record is from RefSeq and is a predicted model, not a curated record. NCBI's taxonomy places the organism in Eukaryota, Viridiplantae, Streptophyta, Magnoliopsida, Myrtales, Myrtaceae.
GUAUAUGUUGUGAAGAGCUGUAGUUUAUAUAUAUUCAGAAGUUGAACAUUCUAUGUUCUUUCAUUCGGAUAUGAUAAUAUCUUACUGCAUAAAGACCACUAGUAAAAGUUCAAGUGCUCUUGGCUAAUAUGUUCUCAUGUUGUUUGCUUGGCAAGAAAAGAGCAACUCCAAUGGGUACCAUGCAUUUGCUCCUCGGGGAACAACAGUUAAGUCUAAUGACUGAAACUUAGCUCUUUUAGUACGAAUGUCUUCGUUUCAAAUGUUUAAAUUGAUAGAAGUAGGAUUUAGAGGAGUUGGUGAUGUCCUCUUGCACGGCAGCAGCAUCCAUUUCAUUUUGUAAUGUCCUCUGACAAGUCUAGUGACUGAAACUUGGUGACAAGUCUAGUGACUUUUGAUCUGUUUCCUCUCUUUUAUCUAAUGAAAUUCCUUGCCAAAUA